CCUGAUGGCUGCUGUUGCUCAGGGUGCCUGUCCCAGAGCGGCUAGAGGGCCUUACAGUGGAGGCUCACGGGAAGGUCCAGGCUGAAGUCCCUGUUCUCACAUGAGGGUGACCGUUGGAAUAAGCUGGGGUGUCCACAAUGCUGGCUGGGCCUGCAGGAGAGCCUGAUCCUCGGCGUGGCUGUAUGGGGCGGCUUGGGGCGCUCAGCCUCGGACCUGGGCCUCCCUUCCCUCCUGUUGUACACACUUGGAGCUCAGGCGGGGUGGGGCAAGGCUGGCUGUCAGCGCCCCGUCCCGCCCACAGCAGCCAGGCGCUCAGCCGCCACCUUCCUGCCUCUGCCUGAGCCGGCGGCUCAGGGGUCCUGGAGUUGGAUCUGUCCAGGGUGGCCACGGAGCCAAGGACCCACAGUCCCCAGGGCAUCUUGGGACCCAUCCUCCCCUGGGCCACCUCCGGGCCCUGCCCUUCCUCCAGCAGCCCGUGUUGGGCUGAAGUGGCUUGGAGGCCCGGCCUGGGCCCUGGGUGUCAUGUGGAAGGGAGCAGGGUCGUGGUUGGGCCUCUGGCUCCGGGGCUCAGGGAAGCGCUCGGGUGCCGGCUGUCCCCCUGGUGGGCUGCCGUGUGGCCAGCUCUCGUGUCCCCUGUCGUCUCUGGGUGAAUCUCAGCAGCAGCCUGGGGGCCGGGGCCCCCGCACCUCUGCUGCAUUAGUGAAGCAGCUCACGGACCGCAGUCUCGGCUGCUGAAGCUGAGCAGUCGGGCGGUGUCCAGCGGCCCAGUGUCCACCACCCGUGCCCUGCUGCCCUGGCAGCCGCAAGUGUGCCUCUGUCCCUGCGGUGGCGGGCACUGCCUUCCUGGGCGUCUGUAAAUGGGGCCACACGUGGCCUCCCGCAUCCACCCCUGCCGGCAGCGAUCCGUACACAGUACCCUGCUGGAGCUGCGUGGCCCAGCGGCCAGCCUGCUUAUGUGUGUUGUGUGCACCGCUGCCGUGAACACGCAUGCAAAAUGGCGUGGUGAUUGUUGUACUGCUGGGGAUUGAACCCUGGACUUUGGCCCUGAGCCACUCCCUCAGCCCUUUUUAAAUUCCCAGACAGGUGUCACUAGGUGGCCUGGCUGGGCUUGAACUUGUGACCCUCCUGCCUCAGCCUCCCAGAUGCUGGGCUGACAGGCGCGUGGCACCACGCCCAGCCAACGUGAAUGAAAACUUCAGAAGGCCUAUAAUUAAAAGCGUAACCACGUAACAGUUGGUUAUUUGGUUUGCUUUUUGGGUUUCUGAGAUGGGGUCAGUGGGCCUGCUUCAGCCUCCCAGAGUGUCGGGGGCCCCCGCUUACAAUGAUGUUUUGAUAGUACGAGGUCCCUGGUCUCCAUCCCGCACCGCGGUCCUUGCGCCCUGUCCCUGUGUCCUCAGGAAGGGCAGGGGGGCCGCAGGCUGAGUCACUGCUUGGGUGACACGUGCCCUGCGGGCCUCAAGGUUGGACCUGCGGAGGGAGCCGUGCUGAGCUCAUGGG
RNAcentral lists this long non-coding RNA (1497 nucleotides) under Heterocephalus glaber (naked mole-rat). RNAcentral describes it as "lncRNA (ENSHGLG00100037805.1)". Lineage: Eukaryota; Metazoa; Chordata; Mammalia; Rodentia; Bathyergidae. The record is from RNAcentral.